AGAGCGUCCAUAAUUAUCUUCUCCAUGGUGGAAUUAUCAGCAGCGUGGAAAGCUUCCUUGAGUAGGGUGAUCUUGGUGGUGGAGAAUGGUAAUUUUGAGGUGAUCGACCGGGGCAAAAACGACCUUUGUGGCAUUUUAUCUCUAAUGUCCGGCAUUGGCAUCACGUUACCCUUCUUCAGCUCAGACUCACGGAAGAAUUUGCCAGGCUCAAUCCACUUAUUUAC
RNAcentral lists this unclassified non-coding RNA (224 nucleotides) under Hevea brasiliensis (rubber tree). The record is from RNAcentral. Lineage: Eukaryota; Viridiplantae; Streptophyta; Magnoliopsida; Malpighiales; Euphorbiaceae.